UAGCUUAGUCGGUAAAGAAUCUGCCUGCAAUGCAGGAGACCUGGGUUCGAUUCCUGG
Molecule: transfer RNA, 57 nt
Filed under: Ovis aries (sheep)
Lineage: Eukaryota; Metazoa; Chordata; Mammalia; Artiodactyla; Bovidae
Rfam family: tRNA
About the family: Transfer RNA (tRNA) molecules are approximately 80 nucleotides in length. Their secondary structure includes four short double-helical elements and three loops (D, anti-codon, and T loops).
Source: Rfam by way of RNAcentral